Mastomys coucha (southern multimammate mouse) is the source of this 473-nucleotide non-coding RNA. NCBI's taxonomy places the organism in Eukaryota, Metazoa, Chordata, Mammalia, Rodentia, Muridae. The record is from the annotation of a RefSeq genome assembly.
AACACCUCAGCCUCUCUGAUGACAUAUAAUGUAUGUUGUCAAGCUGAAUGGGAAGGUGGCUACCACUCAAGGCCAGGACCAUGCUGUCCGUAGCUCAUCUCCUCAGCCUUCUUUUCCUCUAUAUCUCUGAUUCUUGGGCCGAAACAACGGUGACCCAGUCUCCAUCAUCCCUGUCCAUGGCUGCAGGAGAAAAAGUCACUAUCGGUUGCAAAACCAGCACAGAUAUUGAUGAUGAUAUGAACUGGUACCAGCAGAAGCCAGGGGAAGCUCCUAAGCUCCUUAUUUCAGAAGGCAAUACUCGUCGUCCUGGAGUCCCGUCCAGGUUCUCCAGCAGUGGCUAUGGAACAGAUUUUGUUUUUACAAUUGAGAACAUGCUAGCAGAAGACGCUGGAGAUUAUUACUGCCAGCAAAGUGAUAACACACCUCUCACAGUGCUAUGUCCUCUUACAGAAACCUGCAGAUGCUGUUGGUGA